AUUGAACGCUAGCGGGAUGCUUUACACAUGCAAGUCGAACGGCAGCGCGGACUUCGGUCUGGCGGCGAGUGGCGAACGGGUGAGUAAUGUAUCGGAACGUGCCCAGUAGCGGGGGAUAACUACGCGAAAGCGUAGCUAAUACCGCAUACGCCCUACGGGGGAAAGGAGGGGAUCGUAAGACCUUGCAGUAUUGGAGCUGCCGAUAACGGAUUAGCUAGUUGGUGAGGUAACGGCUCACCAAGGCGACGAUCCGUAGCUGGUUUGAGAGGCCGACCAGCCACACUGGGACUGAGACACGGCCCAGACUCCUACGGGAGGCAGCAGUGGGGAAUUUUGGACAAUGGGGGCAACCCUGAUCCAGCCAUCCCGCGUGUGCGAUGAAGGCCUUCGGGUUGUAAAGCACUUUUGGCAGGGAAGAAACGACGCGGGCUAAUACCCCGUGGAACUGACGGUACCUGCAGAAUAAGCACCGGCUAACUACGUG
RNAcentral lists this ribosomal RNA (484 nucleotides) under uncultured bacterium. RNAcentral's name for it is "partial 16S ribosomal RNA". It matches the Rfam family "Bacterial small subunit ribosomal RNA", at positions 30 to 507 of the family's 1533-position model. The record is from RNAcentral.